GCAGCCUACUCGCCGUGACACAGCGCCUGUCAUCGGUCGGGGAGUGAAGAGACUUCCGUUUCCUGCGAACUGUGAACUGUGCCUCUGCGCCAGCACUAUGAGAACUGUGUCGACAAGUGUAUACGAGCUUGUGUUUUCUAGUGAGUGUAGUGACGCCACAGUACGGCCAUUCUCAACUUGCAUCAGUUCGCCACUCAGUAACUGUGGCUCAUUUAGUAUGUUCUGAACCGCAAGCCAACACGUGCAGUUUCGUAGCUAAAGCUGAAUCAGGCGAGCAAAGAUCCAGUGCUCAGCUAGGGCGUGCAACAGCCAUUGCCAAAGUUGCCUCCAGCAGCACGGUCAUCUUUACAGUGGGAGACGGCCAUGGACGUCAACCUGGCGUCGCCGCCAGCGUCGCAGUCAUGCUGGCAGCUGGCAGCCCAGGAUGCAGCCAGCAACAGGGUCGCGCCUGGUCGCCUAGCCGCACACCCCGGAGGGCCCAAACGUCAUCUCCAGUGGUCCACCUGUCGCAUCGUCUUCCUCUGCGCCUACGGCCACUGAUGCAUACCCUGUGGUUGGUUUCCCACUUGGCAUUUCCAGCCAUGUGCAGGGUAGUUACUAGGAGUCGCAGUACAUCAGCAUUGACAUAAUCGGCAUGGAAAUAAGAUGUUAUACUCGUACGUGCGGCCUUGUCUACACCGGCUCAUGCAGCAGCUGCUGACCGUGUGCUCAUCCGACUCCACCCAGUCCACGACUGCUGUAGUUAGUCCGAAACAGUUUACUCGGUUCUAUUGUUGCCGCGUGAAGGUGCACGUAGUGCUUCGUCUGUAGUACAUAAGUUAAUGAAAAAGUGUAAACAUUGUGUGACA
Long non-coding RNA from Schistocerca piceifrons (Central American locust), 848 nucleotides. RefSeq lists it as uncharacterized. The transcript has 3 exons. NCBI's taxonomy places the organism in Eukaryota, Metazoa, Arthropoda, Insecta, Orthoptera, Acrididae. The record is from RefSeq and is a predicted model, not a curated record.